RNAcentral lists this ribosomal RNA (376 nucleotides) under uncultured eukaryote. RNAcentral's name for it is "partial 18S ribosomal RNA". It matches the Rfam family "Eukaryotic small subunit ribosomal RNA", at positions 592 to 976 of the family's 1831-position model. The record is from RNAcentral.
CAAGAGCGUAUAUUAAAGUUGCUGCGGUUAAAAAGCUCGUAGUUGGAUUUCAGUCUAGGAAGGUUAACUCGCCGAAAGGUUGUACGUUGAUUUUCCUCAGACUUCGUCAGAAGCUCGUGCUGCACUUAACUGUGUGGUACGAUGUUCUGACCUUUUACCUUGAGGAAAGUAGAGUGUUUCAGGCAGGCUACCCAGCUUGAAUACAUUAGCAUGGAAUAAUGAAAUGGAUCUCGGUUCGAUUUCGUUGGUUCUAGAGCUGAGGUGAUGAUCAAUAGGAACAGGUGAAGGUAUUCGUACUUGAGAGUGAGGAGUGAAAUCCGAUGAUCUCUUAAAGACGAUCCGAGGCGAAAGCAUUUGUCAAGGAUGUUUUCAUUGA